Molecule: ribosomal RNA, 250 nt
Filed under: uncultured bacterium
Lineage: Bacteria
Description: partial 16S ribosomal RNA
Rfam family: Bacterial small subunit ribosomal RNA
Source: RNAcentral
GCAAGUCGAGCGGUAACAUUUCUAGCUUGCUAGAAGAUGACGAGCGGCGGACGGGUGAGUAACGCGUAGAAAUCUACCUAGUAGUGGGGGAUAGCCCAGAGAAAUUUGGAUUAAUACCGCAUACGCCCUACGGGGGAAAGGAGGGGACCUUCGGACCUUGCACUAUUGGAUGAGCCUGCGUGAGAUUAGCUAGUUGGUGAGGUAAUGGCUCACCAAGGCGACGAUCUCUAGCUGGUCUGAGAGGAUGAUC